GUAAAUCAAGCAAAAGGCUUCAUGUUUUAUUUGGUUAAAUAUCUAAUACUACAUACCCAAUAUACAUAACCAUUAUUUCGGUCGAUUGAGUGAGGCAUGUAGAAGAUUAUUAAUGGACACGAUGAGCCAGGAGGAAGGAUGAAAAAGCGGUGGUGCCGGCGGCGGAUUGUGAUUAGUUCCAUGGGACGGGCCAGAUCCAUGAGAGGGAGACUUAGGUAGCUCCGGAUAUACUCUCUUGUCCUUCACCACGGCUCUUGCAUUUGCAAUAUUGCUACUGGCAAAACCUAAAAUCAGUAGUGCAAGCAAAAGUAUUGCAGAUGGAGGUUUUUGGCCAACCAUUUUAUAGUCCUUCAAAUUUG
This 359-nucleotide long non-coding RNA is filed under the name Olea europaea (common olive). RNAcentral describes it as "long non-coding RNA (OEUR_LNC014303)". Lineage: Eukaryota; Viridiplantae; Streptophyta; Magnoliopsida; Lamiales; Oleaceae. The record is from RNAcentral.